UUUAGUACGUAGCCAUAAUGCCUCAGCUGAUGGGUAUGAAUCGUGCAUGCCAUUCAAGGACGUUUGAUGGUAUCUUUAGAAGAUUU
Drosophila sechellia is the source of this 86-nucleotide regulatory RNA element. It matches the Rfam family "R2 RNA element", at positions 98 to 196 of the family's 212-position model. Rfam says of the family: This family represents the 3' UTR region of the R2 retrotransposable element. This family is known to interact with the R2-encoded reverse transcriptase in a reaction known as target primed reverse transcription (TPRT). NCBI's taxonomy places the organism in Eukaryota, Metazoa, Arthropoda, Insecta, Diptera, Drosophilidae. The record is from Rfam.